UACGUAGGGUGCGAAGCGUUGUCCGGAAUUAUUGGCGUAAAGAGCUCGUAGGCGGUCUGUCGCGUCUGCUGUGAAAACUCAGGGCUUAACCCUGAGCUUGCAGUGGGUACGGGCAGACUAGAGUGCGGUAGGGGAGACUGGAAUUCCUGGUGUAGCGGUGAAAUGCGCAGAUAUCAGGAGGAACACCGGUGGCGAAGGCGGGUCUCUGGGCCGUAACUGACGC
Molecule: ribosomal RNA, 223 nt
Filed under: uncultured bacterium
Lineage: Bacteria
Description: partial 16S ribosomal RNA
Rfam family: Bacterial small subunit ribosomal RNA
Source: RNAcentral